UGGGGAAUUUUGGACAAUGGACGCAAGUCUGAUCCAGCUAUGCCGCGUGCGGGAAGAAGGCCUUCGGGUUGUAAACCGCUUUUGUCAGGGAAGAAACGAGUUUCUCUAAUACAGAGACUUAAUGACGGUACCUGAAGAAUAAGCACCGGCUAACUACGUGCCAGCAGCCGCGGUAAUACGUAGGGUGCAAGCGUUCAUCGGAAUUACUGGGCGUAAAGCGUGCGCAGGCGGUUAUGCAAGACAGAUGUGAAAUCCCCGGGCUCAACCUGGGAACUGCAUUUGUGACUGUAUAGCUAGAGUACGGCAGAGGGGGAUGGAAUUCCGCGUGUAGCAGUGAAAUGCGUAGAUAUGCGGAGGAACACCGAUGGCGAAGGCAAUCCCCUGGGCCUGUACUGACGCUCAUGCACGAAAGCGUGGGGAGCAAACA
This 427-nucleotide ribosomal RNA is filed under the name uncultured bacterium. RNAcentral describes it as "bacterial SSU rRNA". It matches the Rfam family "Bacterial small subunit ribosomal RNA", at positions 355 to 774 of the family's 1533-position model. The record is from RNAcentral.